This 281-nucleotide non-coding RNA is filed under the name Marmota monax (woodchuck). Lineage: Eukaryota; Metazoa; Chordata; Mammalia; Rodentia; Sciuridae. The record is from RNAcentral.
UAGCCCACAUGCUAGUUCAGGAACAACUUCAGGCUGGACAUUUAUCACCUACGCUCAGUCCUUGGAACACACCCAUCCUUGUAAUUAAGAAAAAAUCUGGCAACUGGAGGUUAUUACAAGAUCUCAGGCAAUUAAUUAUGUUACUGAGCCCAUGGGAGCCUUACAACAAGGGCUUUCUUCUACAGCUAUCCCUUUGAAUUAUCAUUUAAUAGUAAUAGAUUUAAAGAUUGUUUCUUUUCUAUACUUUUGCACUCAGACAACUGUAAAAGGUUUGCCUUCAG